Molecule: non-coding RNA, 207 nt
Organism: Oryza barthii
Lineage: Eukaryota; Viridiplantae; Streptophyta; Magnoliopsida; Poales; Poaceae
Source: Rfam
AAUAAAUGUAGUUUAUUACUAUUCACGUUCAACGUUUGACCGUUCGUCUUGUUUGAAAUUUUUUAUGAUUAGUAUUUUUAUUACUAUUAGAUGAUAAAACAUGAAUAAUACUUUAUGUGUGACUAAAUAUUUUUAAAUUUUUUAUAAAAUUUUUAAAUAAGAUGGACGGUUAAAUGUUGGACACGGAUAUCCACGGCUACAUUUAUU